AGUGCUCAAUUAACACUUCUUGAUUGAAUGAUACAUUCCUGUCCCUGAAUUAGGUGCAUUGUGUCCAAAUUAUGGUGAUUGUCAUCAACUUAUGGGUAUGUAUCAGUCAAGAUCCACUUGGGGUGAGUAUACAAACUCUCCAAAAAGUCUGGAGGGUUUGGUAAAUUAUUGGGUUUAUAAAUGGAAAUUAUUUGUUUAGAUGUAAGUAUCCCAAUUUACUGCAGUCACGGGAUAGGGAAAGGGUCAAGACUUGUUUAUUUUUAUGGGUAUAUAUGGAAUUUACAUUUUCCUAACGUUAAUACUUUUUACACAGAAGUGUGAUUUCAGAGUUCCAGGAAGUACUUUUACCACCCAAAAUACUUGUUCGGCCUAUUCUCUAGUUCUCCAUUUUUGUUAUAGGAGCAAAAGCCUUUAUCAAUCACAUAAUUAGAAAGAAACCUUAUAUCAUGACUGAUACGGGGCUCUGAAGGAGAAAACAGGAGAAGUCAUUACAGCAAGAAGCGAAGUCUCCCUUUAUUUCCAAUAACCUGAUGAAAGAAGGAUAUGCUUAUCCAUUUUGCACAUAAGGAAUCUGAGGCACAUAGAAGUCAAAUGGAUUGCCAAGAGGGGGAAGCACACAAGAUACCUCCCAAGAUGGACAAAUUUUAAGACUGUGGUAGAAUGUCAAACUCCCAAUUGGAAAGCAGGAAGAGGUUUUCUGCAAAGGUGUUCAAAGGACAUGGAGAGAAAUGGAGGCUAGAGAGAAAGCAGACAUGGAGGGACAGCUAACAUCAAGCGGUGCUGGAGAUACAGAGUAUCAGAAGCCCCAUCUGUUUGAAGUCUAUGGUUUAUCAGAGACUCUGCUUGCAGAAAGUCGCCUCAGAUUUCACACCAGACAGACUUCACAGUAGGAUAAACCCAGAGGAAGUCUAGGAGAAACAGCUGUUUUUAUCAAGAGGGAGCCGAGCUCCUUAAAAGAGCUGAAAGAACUCAGGAACCAGAAAACUGAAUUGUGGUCUCAUAUCUAUCACUCAUCCCCCAAACUUGUGGGGCCGUGGGAAAGCAUGAAUGGAGAUCCUCACACCACACAUCCAGCUACGUGAAAGAGAUGGGCAGGAAGAGGUUAAAGAACAUGCCAGAAGGCACACACAGACAGUACUUGAUGGAGCUAGGACUUGAACCCAGGUGUCCGGUUCUCGAGAACACACUCUUACGCACUGGGCCUCACCGUCUUCCUGGAUCCUCACUUAGCAUGGAAAGAAAAAGCCAUGUACUAGUCCCAGCUUCGAGUCCUGCAGCCCUGGGCUGAUGGAUUUGAUCUCGUGUCCUCAUCUGUAAAACAGAGGAAAUGGCAUCUCUCUCCUGGGGCUGUUAUGAAAACUGGAGGAAAUAAGGACAGAGUAAUCCCGAGGAAGUCUGUGCUUCAGUUCCUGCACAUACGGUUUAAGGGUGGCGUUCAUCUAGUCUGGGCUGCCUCCUCCUUUCUGAAACUACGAGCCUCAUGAGCUGCAGGUCUCUGAUUUUCCAGGUUGAAGGAGACUCCAGUUUGCAGACCUGGCUAUGAACAUCCGAUUACACAGCCAGCAUCCCAGCUUAACCCUCUCCUCCCUCUUGUUUGGAUACGUUGAAGAGUGGUACCCUUCUCAGCUGAACGCUGCGGAACUGUGUCAUGGACUCUCUGCCUGGGUUUGCUGGCCUUGCACAGACUCCUCAGGCACGCCUUGCCCUCAGGCAGGGAGAGCGGAGCCAGGUUCUUAUGAAUGAAGAGGAAAGAAUCGUCACAGGACACACCUCACUGCGCCUUUUCUUAGCCGGCUUCCCAGGUAUUGACUUGUGCUAACAAAGAAAGGGAAAUUUCUUGGGUGGAAGUUUCCACACCUUAGGAUAAGCUUGCUCAAUCCUGAAGCCUAUAAGGAAUGUUCUGCCCAUAAUCAAUGAGUUCUAACUUAAUUCCUUGCAUUCUUUCUUGCAUUCCAAACAUUGUUAGCUGGGACACAUACCUAAAGGGUGAUUUGCAGAAAGAAAAAUAAAAUAUUUAACACCACGUACUUUUUCCACUGAA
Molecule: long non-coding RNA, 2041 nt
Organism: Camelus dromedarius (Arabian camel)
Lineage: Eukaryota; Metazoa; Chordata; Mammalia; Artiodactyla; Camelidae
Exons: 8
Source: RefSeq, a predicted model, not a curated record